GCGGAAGUGGCGAAAUUGGUAGACGCACCAGAUUUAGGUUCUGGCGCCGCGAGGCAUAAGAGUUCAAGUCUCUUCUUCCGCACCA
This 85-nucleotide transfer RNA is filed under the name Vibrio cholerae. RNAcentral describes it as "tRNA-Leu". It matches the Rfam family "tRNA". From Rfam's summary of the family: Transfer RNA (tRNA) molecules are approximately 80 nucleotides in length. Their secondary structure includes four short double-helical elements and three loops (D, anti-codon, and T loops). The record is from RNAcentral. Lineage: Bacteria; Pseudomonadati; Pseudomonadota; Gammaproteobacteria; Vibrionales; Vibrionaceae.